AUGACCCAAAACGCCCCAAAAUGGCCCAAAAUAACCCAAAACGCCCCAAAAUGCCCCAAAAAGCCCCAAAUUGACCCCAAUUUGCCCCCCAGGUGCUUCGAGGGCGACUUCUCGGGGCCCCGGCACUUCCCCAACUGCUCGGUGGCCCUGGGCCACCAGGACAGCUCCGGACACCCCAGUGACCACCAGAGUGACCACCCCAGUGACCACCUGAAGAACCUCAGUGACCACCAGAGUGACCACCAGAGUGACCACCCCAGUGACCACCUGAAGAACCUCAGUGACCACCAGAGUGACCACCUGAAGAACCUGAGUGACCACCAGAGUGACCACCAGAGUGACCACCUGAAGAACCUGAGUGACCACCAGAGUGACCACCAGAGUGACCACCAGAGUGACCACCUGAAGAACCCCAGUGACCACCAGAGUGACCACCUGAAGAACCCCAGUGACCACCAGAGUGACCACCUGAAGAACCUCAGUGACCACCUGAAGAGCCUCAGUGACCACCAGAGUGACCACCUGAAGAACCUGAGUGACCACCGGAGUGACCACCUGAAGAACCCCAGUGACCACCUGAAGAACCCCAGUGACCACCAGAGUGACCACCUGAAGAACCUGAGUGACCACCAAAAGGACCAGGGUGACCACCGGAGUGACCAGGGUGACCACUGGAGUGACCUGAGUGACCACCAGAGUGACCAGGCUGACCACCUGAGUGACCAGAGUGACCAGGGUGACCACCUGAGUGACCUGAGGGACCACCAGAAGAACCUGAGUGACCAGAAUGACCACCAGAGUGACCUGAGUGACCAUCAAAAGAAGCUGAGUGACCACCAGAAGAACCUGAGUGACCACUGGGGUGACCUGAGUGACCACCAGAAGGACCAGAGUGACUGGAGUGACCACCAGACUGACCCCCAGGGUGACCACAGUGACCACAAAGACCAGCAGGGUGACCAAGCUGACCACAAUGACCAUGAUGACCACAAUGGCCACCAGGCUGAACAAGGUGACCACCAUGACCAAGCUGACCACAAUGACCAUGAUGACCACCAUGACCACCAGGCUGACCAAGGUGACCACCAUGACCACAAUGACCACCAUGGUGACCACCAUGACCACAAUGACCACCAUGACCACCAGGCUGACCAAGGUGACCACGCUGAGCACCAAGGUGACCACCAUGACCACAAUGAUCACCAUGACCACCAGGCUGACCAAGGUGACCACAAUGACCAUGGUGACCACGAUGACCACCAAGGUGACCAAGGUGACCAUGG
RNAcentral lists this long non-coding RNA (1283 nucleotides) under Cyanistes caeruleus (blue tit). RNAcentral's name for it is "lncRNA (ENSCCEG00000004969.1)". Lineage: Eukaryota; Metazoa; Chordata; Aves; Passeriformes; Paridae. The record is from RNAcentral.